GAUGAACGCUGACGGCGUGCCUAAUACAUGCAAGUCGAGCGAACAGACGAGGAGCUUGCUCCUCUGACGUUAGCGGCGGACGGGUGAGUAACACGUGGAUAACCUACCUAUAAGACUGGGAUAACUUCGGGAAACCGGAGCUAAUACCGGAUAAUAUAUUGAACCGCAUGGUUCAAUAGUGAAAGACGGUUUUGCUGUCACUUAUAGAUGGAUCCGCGCCGCAUUAGCUAGUUGGUAAGGUAACGGCUUACCAAGGCAACGAUGCGUAGCCGACCUGAGAGGGUGAUCGGCCACACUGGAACUGAGACACGGUCCAGACUCCUACGGGAGGCAGCAGUAGGGAAUCUUCCGCAAUGGGCGAAAGCCUGACGGAGCAACGCCGCGUGAGUGAUGAAGGUCUUCGGAUCGUAAAACUCCGUUAUUAGGGAAGAACAAAUGUGUAAGUAACUAUGCACGUCUUGACGGUACCUAAUCAGAAAGCCACGGCUAACUACGUG
This 497-nucleotide ribosomal RNA is filed under the name uncultured bacterium. RNAcentral's name for it is "partial 16S ribosomal RNA". It matches the Rfam family "Bacterial small subunit ribosomal RNA", at positions 28 to 507 of the family's 1533-position model. The record is from RNAcentral.